Molecule: ribosomal RNA, 491 nt
Filed under: uncultured bacterium
Lineage: Bacteria
Description: partial 16S ribosomal RNA
Rfam family: Bacterial small subunit ribosomal RNA
Source: RNAcentral
GUGAACGCUGGCGGUAGGCCUAACACAUGCAAGUCGAACGGCAGCACAGUAAGAGCUUGCUCUUACGGGUGGCGAGUGGCGGACGGGUGAGGAAUACAUCGGAAUCUACUUUUUCGUGGGGGAUAACGUAGGGAAACUUACGCUAAUACCGCAUACGACCUACGGGUGAAAGCAGGGGAUCUUCGGACCUUGUGCGAUUGAAUGAGCCGAUGUCGGAUUAGCUAGUUGGCGGGGUAAAGGCCCACCAAGGCGACGAUCCGUAGCUGGUCUGAGAGGAUGAUCAGCCACACUGGAACUGAGACACGGUCCAGACUCCUACGGGAGGCAGCAGUGGGGAAUAUUGGACAAUGGGCGCAAGCCUGAUCCAGCCAUACCGCGUGGGUGAAGAAGGCCUUCGGGUUGUAAAGCCCCUUUGUUGGGAAAGAAAAGCAGCAGGUUAAUACCCCGCUGUUCUGACGGUACCCAAAGAAUAAGCACCGGCUAACUUCGUG